Molecule: non-coding RNA, 619 nt
Organism: Nothobranchius furzeri (turquoise killifish)
Lineage: Eukaryota; Metazoa; Chordata; Actinopteri; Cyprinodontiformes; Nothobranchiidae
Source: RefSeq, a predicted model, not a curated record
GAUUCCUUAAGGUUUGUAAAGGAAUUGGAGUCACCUGUAUGAUCUCACAAACGCUGAAGACCCACGUGAUGCUGCCUGAUUAGCUUAGUGGCUGUGUCUCAAUUCAGGGUCUGCAUCCUACGUCGGCCGGAUUCGUCGGCCGGUUACGUCACAGCGCCGCGACUAGGCCUGUCCCAAUUCGAAGACUCCUUCAAAUGCGGUCGACGAAUGCGGCCUUCUUUUCGCCUGAAUGAAGGAUGGGUCCGGUGUAUCCUUCAACAGGUAGCAUUUCCCAAGAUGCCUUGCGGGCCGGCCAGCAGAAAAACUUAAAAACAAUGGCGGACAGUGAAGCGGGAGCUGUCGGAGAGGAUUGCGCAUAUAAAUGAACAAAAGAGAAAACCAGGGAAUUUAUUAAGCUUAGGGCGGAGAUGGACCACAUGAUCACCGGAGCAAAGUAUUCGGCGGCUGUGGCAUGGAGACUAUUCUGGAGAAAAUGGGCAUCCAGGGGAAGGUGCCAGCGAUGACCAGCUUCUGGAUCUGAUCAGGGAGAACAUGAGGCUGCAGAGGGAGGCAGAGGGCCCAGGAGAGAAGGAAUAACUUUGACAGCUUUUUACUUUGCUAGAAAAAAAAUGGUUAAUAA